This 252-nucleotide ribosomal RNA is filed under the name uncultured bacterium. RNAcentral describes it as "partial 16S ribosomal RNA". It matches the Rfam family "Bacterial small subunit ribosomal RNA", at positions 524 to 776 of the family's 1533-position model. The record is from RNAcentral.
UACGUAGGUGGCGAGCGUUAUCCGGAUUUAUUGGGCGUAAAGCGUCCGCAGCCGGUUUGUUAAGUAUAAAAUUAAAUUUCGGGGCUUAACCCCGUCUCGUUUUAUAAACUGAUAAACUCGAGUGUGGUAGAGGCAAGUGGAAUUUCUAGUGUAGCGGUAGAAUGCGUAGAUAUUAGAAGGAACACCAGUGGCGAAGGCGACUUGCUGGGCCAUCACUGACGGUCAGGGACGAAAGCGUGGGGAGCGAAUAGG